UUCAUGCUCGGCCGCGACAGCGACACCGUCGCCUUCGUCCAGUUCCCGCAGCGGUUCGAGGGCGUGGACCCCACGGACCUGUACGCCAACCACAACCGCAUCUUCUUCGACGGCACGCUCCGGGCGCUCGACGGCAUGCAGGGGCCCAUCUACGUCGGGACGGGUUGCCUCUUCCGCCGCGUCACGCUCUACGGCUUCGACCCGCCGAGGAUCAACGUCGGCGGCCAGUGCUUCCCGUCGCUGGGAGGGAUGUUCGCCAAGACCAAGUACGAGAAGCCGGGGCUCGAGAUGAGCACCGCCAAGGGCGCCGCCACCGCCGUCGUCGCCAAGGGUAAGCACGGGUUCCUGCCCCUGCCCAAGAAGUCGUACGGCAAGUCGGAGGCGUUCGUGGACUCGAUCCCGCGCGCGUCGCACCCGUCGCCGUUCGCCAACGCCACCGGCGACGCCGGCGUGCUGACCGACGAGGCGACCAUCUCGGAGGCCGUGGCGGUGACGACGGCGGCGUACGAGAAGAAGACCGGGUGGGGCAGCAACAUCGGGUGGGUGUACGGCACCGUGACGGAGGACGUGGUGACGGGGUACCGGAUGCACAUCAAGGGGUGGCGCUCCCGCUACUGCUCCAUCUACCCGCACGCCUUCAUCGGCACCGCCCCCAUCAACCUCACGGAGCGCCUCUACCAGGUGCUCCGCUGGUCCACGGGGUCCCUCGAGAUCUUCUUCUC
RNAcentral lists this long non-coding RNA (722 nucleotides) under Setaria italica (foxtail millet). RNAcentral describes it as "long non-coding RNA (SITA_LNC004306)". Lineage: Eukaryota; Viridiplantae; Streptophyta; Magnoliopsida; Poales; Poaceae. The record is from RNAcentral.